RNAcentral lists this ribosomal RNA (439 nucleotides) under uncultured Clostridium sp. Its description in RNAcentral is "bacterial SSU rRNA". It matches the Rfam family "Bacterial small subunit ribosomal RNA", at positions 338 to 770 of the family's 1533-position model. The record is from RNAcentral. Lineage: Bacteria; Bacillati; Bacillota; Clostridia; Eubacteriales; Clostridiaceae.
CCUACGGGAGGCAGCAGUAGGGAAUUUUCGGCAAUGGGGGAAACCCUGACCGAGCAACGCCGCGUGAAGGAAGAAGUAAUUCGUUAUGUAAACUUCUGUCAUAGAGGAAGAACGGUGGAUAUAGGGAAUGAUAUCCAAGUGACGGUACUCUAUAAGAAAGCCACGGCUAACUACGUGCCAGCAGCCGCGGUAAUACGUAGGUGGCGAGCGUUAUCCGGAAUUAUUGGGCGUAAAGAGGGAGCAGGCGGCACUAAGGGUCUGUGGUGAAAGAUCGAAGCUUAACUUCGGUAAGCCAUGGAAACCGUAGAGCUAGAGUGUGUGAGAGGAUCGUGGAAUUCCAUGUGUAGCGGUGAAAUGCGUAGAUAUAUGGAGGAACACCAGUGGCGAAGGCGACGAUCUGGCGCAUAACUGACGCUCAGUCCCGAAAGCGUGGGGAGCA